This 73-nucleotide transfer RNA is filed under the name Felis catus (domestic cat). It matches the Rfam family "tRNA". From Rfam's summary of the family: Transfer RNA (tRNA) molecules are approximately 80 nucleotides in length. Their secondary structure includes four short double-helical elements and three loops (D, anti-codon, and T loops). The record is from Rfam by way of RNAcentral. Lineage: Eukaryota; Metazoa; Chordata; Mammalia; Carnivora; Felidae.
GCCUGGCUGGCCCAGCCAGUAGAGCAUGAGACUUUUGAUCUCGGGGUUGUGAGUUUGAGCCCCACGUUGGGUG